This 733-nucleotide long non-coding RNA is filed under the name Ictidomys tridecemlineatus (thirteen-lined ground squirrel). Its description in RNAcentral is "lncRNA (ENSSTOG00000034839.1)". The record is from RNAcentral. Lineage: Eukaryota; Metazoa; Chordata; Mammalia; Rodentia; Sciuridae.
CCGGCCUUUCAAACCCGGCAGAGACCGGGACACCCUUUCCCACGCCACCCCAGACCCGGGUUGACCUGUUUCCCGUGGGAGCCCCUCCUUGAGUGAAGGUUCGGUUUUCCUUGGGUGGAGUUUGCGAAUCAGAGCUGCGUUUCCUCCAUCUUUCAACCAAUAGCUUCCGAUGUUGUUUUUUUUUUUUUUUCCCCUUUCAGUAUGGUAAAGUCGGUCCCUCCUCCCGACCAAUGGAGGGCGCAAGAGUGCGUAGCGCGAAGACUGGGAAAACUGUUGGGUACGGAAGUGAUGUCAGGCACCGGAAGUGCACGAGUUUGACGGACUGGGCUGGUGAGUUCCGGCUUCUAGGAGACUUAUAAUCACGGUUCCGCUAGGCUGUAGUGAAGAGGUUCGUUUCUUCCCGACAGCCUUAAUGUUCAGAUGAGAAAGAUGAGGGUCCUAGAGGAAGGGGUUUCUCAUAUUCACUCAGCAAGAAACUCCCGAGACCAGCGCGCUUUCCACACGACUCCUCUGGGCGGAGGACUAUCCCUGAGGUCCUAUCAUGCUUGUGUUUCAGAAGCAUACAAGGCUUCCUACUUCAGAAUUGGCUUUCUCUUUCAAGGCCCUCAAUGAGUCUUCUGCAUUCAGCUCCUUGAGGACUGAGGGACUCAACUCUGCAUCACAGUAUCAACCACAAGGCCCCAGUAAGUACUCAAUAAAUGCCUAAGAAAUUACCUUCCAAUGCCAUUUAUUG